RNAcentral lists this unclassified non-coding RNA (1784 nucleotides) under Apis florea (little honeybee). RNAcentral's name for it is "n-acetylgalactosamine kinase, transcript variant X3". The record is from RNAcentral. Lineage: Eukaryota; Metazoa; Arthropoda; Insecta; Hymenoptera; Apidae.
AUGCCAGAUAAUGAAAAAUGCACUCUAAAUCCAGAAGAACGAGUUCCCAUUUUACAACCAAAUGAAAAACUCUUAAAGAGACUGGAUAUUUUAGCUGAUCAUUUUCAAUCAACGUACAAUAUCAAACCUUUGUUUUUUGUAAGAGUUCCGGGAAGAGUUAAUUUAAUUGGUGAGCACAUCGAUUAUUGCGGAUAUGCUGUUUGUCCAAUGGCUAUUGAACAAGAUAUACUUAUUGCUGUAGCACUCUCAAACGACAACGUCAUUCAUCUUACUAAUUUAGAUUCAAAAUACAAAAAUUUCCAUUGCAAUUUUAAAGACAUUAGUGUUUGUAUUGGAGACGCCGACAGCGGUCCAGACUGGUACAAAUAUUUUCUCUGCGGCGUGAAAGGAGCUCUUGAAGUGAUCCCAGAGGAAUGUGUACCUUCGGGAAUUUUGGCUGCAGUUUGGGGUAACAUUCCUCCUAAUUCAGGACUCUCGAGUUCUAGCGCGCUAGUUUCCGCCGCUGUCCUUUUGAUUGUGCACGCUAGUCAGUAUCAAUUAUCGAAACGUGAAUUGGCUACCAUUAGUGCUAACGCUGAAAGAUAUAUUGGCACCCAAGGUGGUGGAAUGGAUCAAGCGAUCGCAUUCCUUGGAAAAGCAGGUUCUGCAAUGCUAAUCGAAUUCAACCCCUUGCGUGGUACCGAUGUCAUGUUACCGGAAACCGCAGUAUUCGUAAUAGCGCACAGCCAAGCUUGUCAUAACAAAGCUUCCACAACAGAUUAUAAUUUAAGAGUUGCAGAAUGUCGCUUAGCUGCACAGAUGAUAGCAAAGAAAAGAAAUAAACCUUGGCAACAUAUACAAAGACUAAUCGAUAUCCAAGAGAGUCUUAAUAUGAGCUUAGACGAAAUGGUUUCAGUUAUAACAACCGACCUUCAUGAAGAACCAUAUACCCUGAGCGAGAUUAGCAAGAACCUUGACACAACGAAUGAAAAACUUCGUGAAAUAUCAUUAUUACAAACUUUUAGCAAUGCGCAAAUUUUCAAAUUGAAACAACGUGCUCUCCAUGUAUAUCAAGAGGCGGCUAGAGUGCUCGAAUUCCAGCAUAUUAGUGAGAAAAAUGCAAUUGUGGAAGAGGAGAAGCUGAGACAACUAGGCAAUUUGAUGUCUAACAGCCAUUCCAGUAUGCACAAACUAUACGAGUGCAGUCAUCCUAGUGUCAAUUUACUCGUUGACAAAGCUAUGGCUUGCGGUGCUCUUGGUGCAAGACUCACGGGAGCUGGAUGGGGUGGCUGCAUAGUGGCCAUCAUAACGAAAGACAAGGUUUCUCAAUUUGUGGAUACACUGAAAAAGGAACUCAGUCUAUGUGGGAUAAAGGAUGGAUUCAAACUCGACGAUCUGGUUUUUCCAACGGAACCGAACCAGGGUGCUGCAAUUUAUAUGACCUAGUUUUUAUUCUCCAUCUGCUUCCUGCCUUCUUCUUGCAUUUUAUAAAUUGUUGACCAAUUAAUUUAUCAAAAGUUUGACAUCGUUUUGAAAUAAGGCAAUGACGAUACACUUUGUUCUCGGAUCCAGAACUUCCUGGUGGACGAACAUCAGCUUAGGCAAGGAAAUUUCUCAAGUCCUGUAAACUGUGGUAAACCAUGUGAAACAAGUUACGUAUUAACAGAGAAGGUAAAAUUGGUAAGCCGAGGAAAUACGUGAUGUCGAAAGUUUAAAUUCCUGAGAAAUCCAGAAAUUUAUUUACGUUACAGUUAUAUGACUAAUUUGCCGAUGAAUAUUUCUCUUCUCAUUAUAAUAAGUAUUAU